This 239-nucleotide ribosomal RNA is filed under the name uncultured bacterium. RNAcentral describes it as "partial 16S ribosomal RNA". It matches the Rfam family "Bacterial small subunit ribosomal RNA", at positions 118 to 347 of the family's 1533-position model. The record is from RNAcentral.
UGAGCAAUCUGCCCUUCUCUUUGGAAUAAGCGUUGGAAACGACGUCUAAUGCCGAAUACGACCUCCUUUCGCAUGAUCGGAGGUGGAAAGCUCCGGCGGAGAAGGAUGAGCUCGCGGCCUAUCAGCUAGUUGGUGUGGGUAAUGGCCCACCAAGGCGACGACGGGUAGCCGGCCUGAGAGGGUCGACCCGGCCACACGUGGGACUGAGACACGGCCCAGACCUCCGUACGGGAGNAGCG